GAUGAACGCUGGCGGCGUGCCUAAUACAUGCAAGUCGAACGCGCAGCGAAAGGUGCUUGCACCCUUCAAGCGAGUGGCGAACGGGUGAGUAACACGUGGAUAACCUGCCUCAAGGCUGGGGAUAACAUUUGGAAACAGAUGCUAAUACCGAAUAAAACUUAGUAUCGCAUGAUACAAAGUUAAAAGGCGCUACGGCGUCACCUAGAGAUGGAUCCGCGGUGCAUUAGUUAGUUGGUGGGGUAAAGGCUUACCAAGACGAUGAUGCAUAGCCGAGUUGAGAGACUGAUCGGCCACAUUGGGACUGAGACACGGCCCAAACUCCUAAGGGAGGCUGCAGUAGGGAAUCUUCCACAAUGGGCGCAAGCCUGAUGGAGCAACGCCGCGUGUGUGAUGAAGGCUUUCGGGUCGUAAAGCACUGUUGUAUGGGAAGAAAUGCUAAAAUAGGGAAUGAUUUUAGUUUGACGGUACCAUACCAGAAAGGGACGGCUAAAUACGUGCCAGCAGCCGCGGUAA
Molecule: ribosomal RNA, 513 nt
Filed under: uncultured bacterium
Lineage: Bacteria
Description: partial 16S ribosomal RNA
Rfam family: Bacterial small subunit ribosomal RNA
Source: RNAcentral